This 73-nucleotide transfer RNA is filed under the name Bacteroidota bacterium. RNAcentral describes it as "Bacteroidetes bacterium tRNA-Gln". It matches the Rfam family "tRNA". From Rfam's summary of the family: Transfer RNA (tRNA) molecules are approximately 80 nucleotides in length. Lineage: Bacteria; Pseudomonadati; Bacteroidota. The record is from RNAcentral.
UGUCCGGUGGUGUAAUUGGCAACACAUCUGAUUUUGGUUCAGAAGAGUCCAGGUUCGAAACCUGGCCGGACAA